GACGAACGCUGGCGGCGUGCUUAACACAUGCAAGUCGAACGGUGAAGCGCCUUCCUUUUUGGUGGGUGUGGAUGAGUGGCGAACGGGUGAGUAACACGUGAGUAACCUGCCCCCUUCUUCUGGAUAACCGCAUGAAAGUGUGGCUAAUACGGGAUAUUCUGGGUCUGUCGCAUGAUGGGUCUGGGAAAGAUAUUGUUUCGGUGGGGGAUGGGCUCGCGGCCUAUCAGCUUGUUGGUGGGGUGAUGGCCUACCAAGGCGGUGACGGGUAGCCGGCCUGAGAGGGUGGACGGUCACACUGGGACUGAGACACGGCCCAGACUCCUACGGGAGGCAGCAGGGGGGAAUAUUGCACAAUGGGCGCAAGCCUGGUGCAGCGACGCCGCGUGAGGGAUGGAGGCCUUCGGGUUGUGAACCUCUUUCGCCAGUGAAGCAGGCCUGCCUCGUUUGUGGGUGGGUUGACGGUAGCUGGAUAAGAAGCGCCGGCUAACUACGUG
RNAcentral lists this ribosomal RNA (494 nucleotides) under uncultured bacterium. Its description in RNAcentral is "partial 16S ribosomal RNA". It matches the Rfam family "Bacterial small subunit ribosomal RNA", at positions 28 to 507 of the family's 1533-position model. The record is from RNAcentral.